AGAGUUUGAUCAUGGCUCAGAGUGAACGCUGGCGGCGUGCUUAACACAUGCAAGUCGAACGAGAACGGUCCUAGCUUGCUAGGAUGUCAGCUAAGUGGCGGACGGGUGAGUAAUGUAUAGUUAAUCUGCCCUUCAGAGGGGGAUAACUACUGGAAACGGUAGCUAAUACCCCAUAUACCUUCUAGUGUAAUACUAGAUGGGAAAUGUCUUUUCGCUGAAGGAUGAGACUAUAUGGUAUCAGGUAGUUGGUGGGGUAAGAGCCUACCAAGCCAAUGACGCCUAGCUGGUCUGAGAGGAUGAUCAGCCACACUGGUACUGAGACACGGACCAGACUCCUACGGGAGGCAGCAGUGGGGAAUAUUGCACAAUGGAGGAAACUCUGAUGCAGCAACGCCGCGUGGAGGAUGACGCAUUUCGGUGUGUAAACUCCUUUUAUAUGGGAAGAUAAUGACGGUACCAUAUGAAUAAGCACCGGCUAACUCCGUGCCAGCAGCCGCGGUAAUACGGAGGGUGCAAGCGUUACUCGGAAUCACUGGGCGUAAAGCGCGCGCAGGCGGUUUGAUAAGUUGGAUGUGAAAUCCUAUGGCUCAACCAUAGAACUGCAUCCAAAACUGUCAAACUAGAGUCUGGGAGAGGAAGAUGGAAUUAGUUGUGUAGGGGUAAAAUCCGUAGAGAUAACUAGGAAUACCAAAAGCGAAGGCGAUCUUCUGGAACAGUACUGACGCUGAGGCGCGAAAGCGUGGGGAGCAAACAGGAUUAGAUACCCUGGUAGUCCACGCCCUAAACGAUGAAUGUUAGUCGUUGGAGUCCUAGUGACUUCAGUGAUGCAGCUAACGCAUUAAACAUUCCGCCUGGGGAGUACGGUCGCAAGAUUAAAACUCAAAGGAAUAGACGGGGACCCGCACAAGUGGUGGAGCAUGUGGGUUUAAUUCGAAGAUACGCGAAGAACCUUACUGGGCUUGACAUUGAUAGAACAUCGUAGAGAUACAGUGGUGCCUUCGGGGGAGCUUGUAACAGUGCCUGCACGCUGUCGUCAGCUCGGUCGUGGAUGUUGGGUUAGUCCCGCCAACGAAGCGCCUCU
This 1081-nucleotide ribosomal RNA is filed under the name uncultured Campylobacterota bacterium. Its description in RNAcentral is "bacterial SSU rRNA". It matches the Rfam family "Bacterial small subunit ribosomal RNA", at positions 8 to 1103 of the family's 1533-position model. Lineage: Bacteria; Pseudomonadati; Campylobacterota. The record is from RNAcentral.